This is a non-coding RNA of Brachypodium distachyon (stiff brome), 125 nucleotides long. The record is from Rfam. NCBI's taxonomy places the organism in Eukaryota, Viridiplantae, Streptophyta, Magnoliopsida, Poales, Poaceae.
GAAAUACUCCUUCCGACCCACAUUACUUGUCCAAAUAUUACAUGUAUCUAUACGCUUUUUAAACAUAGAUACAUCCAUAUUUGGGCAAAUUUGAGACAAGUAAUAUGGGUCGGAGGGAGUAUUAU